CUACCUUCUGCCUCUAUUUAUACCCUCCUCUCAUCUUCUUUCUUUUCCAUCAAACCCUAGCUCACUACCUAGCAAAUUAAAGGCCCCCCUUCUCUCUCUCUCUCUCCCCCUCUCUCUCCCUCUCUCUCAAAAUCUCUAGUCUUGCUCAAAGGAAGGAUCACGAGUACUGUACAUAUUUUCUUAUCAUGCAUUUGUAGCAGUUGAAGCUGCCAGCAUGAUCUUAACCUCCCUAUUUUGGUUAGGGAAGAUCAGAUCAUGUGGCAGUUUCACCUGUUAUUGGUAGCAUGAGAUCAAACCCUAAUUCCCACAUAAACCUUUGCAAUCCCUAGAUAAAAGGUAUGUCACGAUCUUCAGUUUCUCAAUAAGUCGACAGUAUGUAUGUGGGUUUUUGUUGUGGUGUCAAUUGAUGUAUUGAUUAAUUCAGCUCAUGUUUAUUUAUAUUUUUUUUUUUUGUGGGAAAGCUGCUCGGAAAUGUCAGCUGUUUUGGGGUUGUUAGGGUUUUGAAUGACAGAAACUGUGUGUUUCCACGCAGUUCGAUGAUUUCAAGAUCCUCAACUGGCACUUUGGUCAUUGAGCCACGGCUACCGAGCAAACCUGCCGUACCCUUUUUGAUUAUUAGUCAUACGGCCUGCAUCAAGAUUUCAUAUGUAUGUAUGCAUAUACAUUCAUGAUAUUACCAUGAAUUUAAGAUUUUCCAUUCAAUACCAUACGGUCUGAAAUUCGAUUUGCCUGAAAUUUUUGUCUCAGUUGGAGGUUCCUAAAUUUCAUCCAUGUUAUUGACUGGGGAUUAAGCCCUAGCUAGGUUAUUAUAUUGGCUAGGGUAUGGAAUAGAAUCAGAAGUUUUCUAGAAAGAGAGAGAGAUGGGGCAGUGAAAUGGACUUUUACCAGUGUGUUUUCACAGGAUGUUGCAGGAAAAACAACUUGCUGAGGGCUUUUUAUUUGUAUAAAUUUAAUGUCAU
RNAcentral lists this long non-coding RNA (959 nucleotides) under Prunus dulcis (almond). RNAcentral's name for it is "sRNA ncRNA". The stretch from base 189 to 281 matches the Rfam family "MIR167 microRNA precursor family". Lineage: Eukaryota; Viridiplantae; Streptophyta; Magnoliopsida; Rosales; Rosaceae. The record is from RNAcentral.